UGUAUUCAACAGCUAUUGAUUGUGCACCUGCUCUAUGCAAGGUCAACAAUGAAAACUCAUCAUUUUUCUGUUUUUGCACUUUAGAAUUCCAGACAUUGCUGGAAGCAGAGAUGGACAAGAUGUUACCCACACUGGUUCUAAUACCCGUGACCCAUUUAUCCCAAGGAGAAAUUAUCCAUGUGGCAUACUGGUUUAACAUCUAGACCACCAAACAAAGACUCCACCAUUCUCCUUGAGGAACAUUGUCACCAAGUUAAAUUGAAAGUUGACGUAUGUCAACUCAAAACAGAUGAGAAACGGCAGGGUGCUUUAUGGAUUGAGAGCCAAGAAGGUAAAAAUUCUAGUCUUAUCUCUAUUGCUGACUUGUUCAAUGACUGUGGUGUGUUUAUCACUUAUUCCUAACUACUCUUCCCUCUGGCUAAAAACCAGAACAAUGUCUACAGAAGAUUUUGAGCUCCGAGGAGAAUAGCUCUCAAUAAGUUCAGCUGGAAGUAAUAAAGGCUUCCUUUUAUAAGCAUAGAGUUAGCUUGUCUGGAUUCAAAUCCCAACCCCCAACAGCUUGGUACUAACUCUGAAUGAAUCACUAUUAAAGAGUGGUAAAAGGUCUUUUGUUAUUGUACAUAAUACUGCAAUGAACAUCUUUUAGCACAUAAAUGUGUUUGUGCAUUUACAUGUUCAUAACUGUAGGGGGAAUUCCUAAAAGUGGACUUCUUCACUGAAAUCUUAUUAAAAUGAGAUUCUCUGACAUCAAUUUAAAAUGUUCAUGUAUACUGCUAACUGGCCCUUCAAAAAAGUUACACCAAAUUUGUACUCCUGAGUAUAUGUAAGUUCCUAUUUCCUCAUACCCUUGCUCACACUAUUCAAUGGCAAUUUUAAGUUUUUAAUCAUUAUUAAUCUCAAAAGCCAAAGAAGAAAUUUCAUUGUAAUUUGCACUUCUUUAAGGAAAGAUGUGCAUCUUUACCUAUUUCUUUAGUCUUUCAUUAAUUUAAGAGAUUUUUUAAAAACAGAAAAGUUGGGAAGAAGUUCUAAUUAAUUUCAUUCAUGUACGAUAUUUAUAAAUUUGAAAAUGUAUUGUAGUUAGCAGUACUAACUGAAAAAGGACAAAACCUCCCAGGUACGAACAGCAGAAAGCCCUAGCUAUCUAUCACCUGAGUUAUUACCAUACUAAUCAUUGACAUAACCCAUAUUAUAUGUAAAGCAAAAUGCAAAGAAGCCCAAGAUGUGAUCUCUGUCCUUAAGGAGUUCAUAGUAAAGAACAUAAGACACAUUUGCAUGAAAUCAUAACAAUCUGAGAUCAUAAGAGGAAUGAAUAAUAAAGACCGCAAAGUGCUCUAGGAAUUAAGGAAAGAAAGUUCAUCUUCAGUUGGAGUAGUUAAAGAAUGUAAAGGAUAUCCCUUGAAGAAAACAAAUGCUUGAAUAGGCAGAGAGAAAGAUUCAAAAGUACAGAAAGGAGAAGUAAGUGAGAGGCAACAGUUGGGUAGACAAGGGUGAAGAGAAGGGAGGUUCGGAUGAGGGAACAGUGGGAAAGUUUACACAUGGAAAGAUGGAUUGAGGUCAAAUUACUGAAGGCCUUGCUUACCCGGUGUAGGCUGGAUUUUAUGCUAUGGGAGCAACCAAAAUUUUUGACAAGAGUAUAGACAUAAUGAAAAUAAUUUUUGGAAUGACCAUUUUGACCUAUAGAUAAUGAAUGAUGAAUGAAUGGAUGGAUGGAAAUGUUGCAUUGGAACAGGGGAUGACAGUCGUAUUAAUACUUUCUGUGGGAGAGAAUCAACUAUUUAAAGGAAAAGUGAUAUGGAUUUUCAUUGACUUGUAAUGCAUAAAGCAGCUAUAGAACUAAUGAUACCUAAUGAGACCUAAGAAAAGAAUACUGAACCAAACCUGGAACUCUUUGCACGUAGAUUGAACAUUCCAGUGCCUUUUUCUAAAUCUGAGUCAGCUUUCAGACCCCUCCACUCACUCAUGCUGAUGAUGAUAUAAGUCUUUCCUUGUUGGGUCUGGAAUUCAUACCAAUUUUCUCACAGACCAAGAAAUUCCAAACAUGCUAUUGUCAUUACACCUCAUCUGUCAACCUAAGGAAUGGCUUUAUUUAUUCUUGUGAUUUGGAGAAAUGAGGUGAUGGUAGAAAGGCUCAAAAUAAUGGGAGGAAGGUGUUGGCUUCAGAGAACCAGCAAUUCCUUUCUUACUUCAUUUCCUUUGCAUAUUCCUUAAUGGUUAGGUGAUUGAGCUGAGCCCCUUGCACUGCAACUGCAAUGCUGUAUUC
RNAcentral lists this long non-coding RNA (2260 nucleotides) under Canis lupus familiaris (dog). RNAcentral describes it as "lncRNA (ENSCAFG00000056084.1)". The record is from RNAcentral. Lineage: Eukaryota; Metazoa; Chordata; Mammalia; Carnivora; Canidae.